RNAcentral lists this ribosomal RNA (444 nucleotides) under uncultured bacterium. RNAcentral's name for it is "SSU rRNA". It matches the Rfam family "Bacterial small subunit ribosomal RNA", at positions 26 to 518 of the family's 1533-position model. The record is from RNAcentral.
AGAACGAACGCUGGCGGCAGGCUUAACACAUGCAAGUCGAGCGCCCAGCAAUGGGAGCGGCGGACGGGUGAGUAACACGUGGGAACAUGCCUUUCGGUACGGAACAACUGCGGGAAACUGCAGCUAAUGCCGUAUACGCCCUUACGGGGAAAGAUUUAUCGCCGAAAGAUUGGCCCGCGUCUGAUUAGCUAGUUGGUGAGGUAACGGCUCACCAAGGCUUCGAUCAGUAGCUGGUUUGAGAGAACGACCAGCCACACUGGGACUGAGACACGGCCCAGACUCCUACGGGAGGCAGCAGUGGGGAAUCUUGGACAAUGGAGGAAACUCUGAUCCAGCCAUGCCGCGUGAGUGAUGAAGGCCUUCGGGUUGUAAAACUCUUUUACCUGGGAAGAUAAUGACUGUACCAGGAGAAUAAGCCCCGGCUAACUUCGUGCCAGCAGCCGC